Sinocyclocheilus rhinocerous is the source of this 1819-nucleotide long non-coding RNA. RefSeq lists it as uncharacterized. NCBI's taxonomy places the organism in Eukaryota, Metazoa, Chordata, Actinopteri, Cypriniformes, Cyprinidae. The transcript has 2 exons. The record is from RefSeq and is a predicted model, not a curated record.
UUGUUUAUGGAUUUCUUUUUCUUUCACAGAUGAUGAUAAUGAUGGGAAUUAUUGGGGUCAUCUUGAUGGGCAUCGUUUUCAUGUACUUCUACUACUGAGCCUCUCGUGGGACGCACAAGGACAGGAGACUCUGGCUUUGUGUGAACUCAACCCCUCCUUCUCUCCCCACCAAUGCCUUUCAUUGAAUCCACAGUGUGUGUGUGCAGUCAUUGACGCAGUGCCUCUCCCUCCCUUUGUCUGUCACUGCAUUUCUUUGUACCUCUCUUGAGUGCUUUGCAACAGUGCCCGAGCUUACUCAAAAACUCCUUCGGUUAGGAAUAUCUACUUAUGGUUUUAGAUUGGAGAAUGUGUUGGCCCUUUUCAGGCCAAAAAAUAAUAAAAAAGAAUGGGUGAUGCAAUAAUGUAGAUCUGUAGCGCUGGUCCAAAUGGACCCAUGAAUAACUAAAGCGGGAAAAUGAAACGCAAACUUCAGUUAAGUUUGAGUUUAGGAUCAAGUCAUGCAUUUAUGCAUAGAAGCCAAAGUGUACUAGUUUAGCCAGAAACAACAGCUGUGGUCCUAUCGUUAGAGUAUUAACAAAGUGCAACUGCAAUGAGAAAUUACAUGAAUAUUUAUUAGCAUUGUUUUUACCCUCCUCCACAUAUAGACUCCUAGAAGCAACUUGUUUUCGCUUCUUAAUAUGGACCUUUAUAGACCCGAAUGGUUUUAGAGCGGUAAAGACUGUGUGAAUUAAAUGUCUUAAAUUGACUAUUGAUUUAGGAUGUUAAUUCCUUCUAAAACAUGGAUGGCGCAAUUUUUAUAAUUCAUUUUAAGAUUUAAAAUGUUUAAAAAGCAUACGAGAAAGAUUGUAGGAUGUUUUAAGCAUCUGCAGUCGACUUGAGGGGAAUAUCUGAUCACAGAUCGUCACUUUUGCUGUUUGAUGUUAUGACUUUGACGUUAAUGUCAGCCAGAUCUGGAGGAAAAAACAGGGAUGAAAAAAUGUAACAUUAAUGGUGAGAUGUGGUGUAAAAGAAAGAUCUAACAUUACAGCAGUGCUCACAAUAUAAAAUAUUUUAAAGUAGAUUUUUUUUAUAUUUAUAUAUUCAAGAUUAUUGUGACAAGUGUGGUCACAAAUGCAAUUUAUUUAGAUUUAUGUAUUGAUAAUAUAAAUGUGACUAUUAAAAAAUUGGUAAAAUCAAUGGUGAAAUUCAGAUCCUGAUCAUAUUAACCCCUUGCACCUCCUGACUUUACUGGCAACAUGAUGUCUUUGGGUUGAAUGAACUACUGCUGAUAUGCAAAAUGAAAGAGAAAUAAUAAUGUGACUAGUUUAAUGUAUUUGUAAAUAUUUGGGAUUCAGUGUGGGAGCAGAUACCUAAUCAGCACUGGAGACGACAAUGUUCAGGGAUGUACCUCUGCAUGUGUUUGUGUAAAAUAUACAUGGGCACUUUAACCACCUUCAUUAUAGUGAUUGUAGGUUUAACUGGACAUUUUUGGGGUAUUACGGACAUAUUGUCCAGCACCUAAAACUAUGACAAUUUGCUCUUGUUGAUGUGGAAUUUAAUGCAAGAUCAUUAUGUGUGAAUAAUAUCUCCUACAUUCAGCAUUAACCCAAACUGCAAACCUAAUGCAGGGCAGUGAAUGUUAUUCCCUUAAAAAAAACUGACUACAUUGUGUUUUAUGCAACCUAUUCAUUUGUAAAUACGCGCUGCAGAGAUGCAUAAAAUAACAGUUCCUGUCCCUGAGCAUUUGGAGCCAAGCUGCUUACUCGUAGUUCAUUUUAAAGCAUGUCUGCUUGCCCACCAUGUGCUGAUUCUAAUAAAAUGCUGAUGCUGUUUCUCGCUC